AGAACGAACGCUGGCGGCAUGCCUAAUACAUGCAAGUCGAACGAACACUUCGGUGUUAGUGGCGCACGGGUGCGUAACGCGUGGGAAUCUGCCCUUGGGUUCGGAAUAACAGUUGGAAACGACUGCUAAUACCGGAUGAUAUCGAAAGAUCAAAGAUUUAUCGCCCAGGGAUGAGCCCGCGUAGGAUUAGCUAGUUGGUGAGGUAAAGGCUCACCAAGGCGACGAUCCUUAGCUGGUCUGAGAGGAUGAUCAGCCACACUGGGACUGAGACACGGCCCAGACUCCUACGGGAGGCAGCAGUGGGGAAUUUGGACAAUGGGCGCAAGCCUGAUCCAGCAAUGCCGCGUGCAGGAAGAAGGCCUUCGGUUGUAAACUGCUUUUGUACGGAACGAAACGGUCUUGGUUAAUACCGUGGGCUAAGUGACGGUACCGUAAGAAUAAGCACCGGCUAACUACGUGCCAGCAGCCGAC
This 471-nucleotide ribosomal RNA is filed under the name uncultured soil bacterium. RNAcentral's name for it is "bacterial SSU rRNA". It matches the Rfam family "Bacterial small subunit ribosomal RNA", at positions 26 to 518 of the family's 1533-position model. The record is from RNAcentral.